UUGAGGUUCUUUCCACCCCUCGCCGCCCGCCACUCCCCGGCCCACUCAGGACCCAGUGACCUCAGGGCCACCAACCCCGCAGAUACUUUAGGGCCCCAUCUUUUCUGGCCUUUCAGCUUUCCAGGACACUGACGCUGAUGCCCUCCUUCUAGAAAGUUCUCGGGGGGGUCUUGGCUUCCAGGGCCGCGCUCCCCUCCACCGCCCCUCACGCAGCCCCCACCCUGGUCUCCAGCUGCCUCCGGACCCACAGGGCAGCUGCUCCCAUUUCCUGGGUGCGUCCCACCCCACAGGGACGCCCGGCAGUCGCCCUGAGCCACCACAUUCCGAUCCGCCUUGCGUCUCCCUGGUGGGGUCUGGGCCUCUUGCGCUCUGCCAGCCACCUUCGGACCAUGCGGCCCGGGACUCCCUGCUCGCUGCCCUUCGUCUCCGGGGCCCCUCUCCCUGCUCCCCGUCUGUUUUAGGGGCAUCGGAACCCACCCUACCGGGUCGUCGCCCUGCCCUCCAGCUCCCAGAGCUGAGCCAGCACUGGUCCUGCUGCCCGCACACCUGCGUCCAGCCACCCUCUGAAGCCCCGGGAGGAGGGCACACACACCUGGGGAUGUGCCCCAGACCCCCAUCCGUACCAUUCGCGGAAGCCCUGCCCCCAGAGCCACCUUUCUGUGUCAGUUCAGGGGAUGACCAGAAGGCAAAGGUCAGAGGCAAAGGUCAGGGAGCUGGGUCCUGCCGGCAGAAAGGCCGCCAGCGCAAAGGCAGGGCGCUGGGGUGGGGGGAGGGGCCUCUCCGGCGAGUGCCCAAAGGCCCUUCCCUCCUGUUCCCUGUCCCCUGCCCCACACCCCUCCUCUGGCCUCCCCCACCUCUCCGGGGCCGGUGUGCCCCGUGGCCAGCACAGGUUCGGGUCAGUCUGAAGUUCCCUCCAGCCUUGGUGGUUCCACCAGUGCGUGGGGUGGCCGGGACCCCCUGCAGGAGGCCGUGAGGGUCUGAGCAGCCGGUGGUCCCCACUGGGUGGCCCUUCCUUCUCUGGAACACACCUACCCCAGCACAAUAUAGGAUUUGAGAGAUGUCUGACACGGGGAGGCGGUGCCCAUCGGAUCCUGCUUCAUUCUCGGCCACAACGCCCCCUGGGUCAGGGACCCGGAGCCCCGCCCGGGGCGGGGAGCAGCAGGGCCCCCGCACGCACAGGACCCGCGACCCUCCGGCCGGAAGGGGCAGGGAGAGGGAGAAAGAGGGAAACUUCAGUGUGUGGUUGCCUCUCAUGCUCCCCCCACUGGGGACCUGGCCCCCAACUCAGGCACGUGCCCUGACUGGGAAUCGAACCGACUCGGUUUGCAGGCCAGUGCUCAAUCCACUGAGCCACACCAGGCAGGACAGCAUGGGCUUUCUUGAAGAAAAACACCUAGGGGUGACGUCCUCCCUCCCAGGAGCACACCUGUGCCUUCCCUGUCUCCCACUUUGUCCCCCACGGGCAGUGCCUCCUAAACUCUGAGGGUCCCCACAAGACGUGCGACCAGGGCAGCAGUGGGCAGCCAGUGGCUGCAAAAACCCGAAAGCCCCGUCCUCUGACUUCUCAGUGAGCUGAGGCGGCCCCGCCGGGUCUCUCUCCUGCCUCAUUUCCCUGUCCCUGCUUUAGUAAACAGGCUCUAUUUAAAAAAAAAAAAAAAAAAAAGUCCCCAGCUGACCCGUGAAAUGCUAAUUGGCUUCCCCCUGAGGGUAGAGGGCCAGCAGGUGGGGGCCAUAGAACCGGGACUGAGGGCUGGGGCUGGGUUGUCCCAGGAAGUCACGACGAGGGUGGGGGCGCUCUGCCCGCUGCCCUGCCCAGUGCCCCAGACACCUCCAGUCCCACCAGCCCCACCCUGCGCCCUCUGCCCUGCACUGGUCCCCCGCCAGGCCAACCCCUGCCAAAUUGCCUAACCAGAUGGGGCACUUUCUCCCCUGGGUCCUGGUCCAGGGCAGGUUGCACAAUGGGCCUGGCUGGGGGAGGCACCAGCUCCCCUCCCCCCCAGGCUGCACCUGUGCACAGGUGGGCCGACCACAGGAGCUUUAAGGAGGGACAGACCAGGCAGCCAGUUUCUGGAACCUGCUGCCUUUUUUUCCUGCCAACUUCAGUUGCCCUGAGGACUGUUUGGUGCUAGACUCAGGUGUGUGGUGUUACGGUGACGUGGAGGUUGGCGGGGGCACGGUUUACAGCGCCCGCCCAAUCUCACGACAUCCUGUGCUCCCCGUGUGGGACUUUGCGGCUCUGGGGCCAACCCGUGACAACCCCAUUGUCCUUCUCAAUCCCUUCGCCUUGUCUGUCCAGCCUCCUGCCCCGCCCUGUCCCCUCCCCUCCAGUGAACGUCAGUCUGUUCUCUGUUUCAUUCCUUUAUUUUGUUCUUUAGAUUCUGCAAAUGUAUGAACUCAUGUGCUGUUCAUGUGUAUGAACAAGUGUCCUCUGACAUUUUACUUGGAACUUGCUGCCUUUUCCACUUGCCUGGGGUCUGGGAGAAGCAGCAGCCACCCCUGUGACCAUUGUCACUGCUCCAGGGUCACUCACUGCCUGGGCUGCCCAGCGAGGCCUUCAGCCUGCAUGCUGGCCCCAAAUCCUGGCAGAGUUGGGCGCUCGGGGCCCUUCCCGAAGCCAGGCCCCACCCACAACCCAAGCCCCACACCUGCCCAGGGGGCCUGGGAGUCUGGCUUCAGGCCCUGCAUUUCCAGGCAAUGGCCGCCUCAGAGCUGGCCACACCCUGAUACACAGGACACCCCACUUGUCCACAUGGCACACCAGGUGUGUCCCUCACGGGAGACUGAAUGCAGAGCUAUCUGCCAGCUUUUGGAAAUUCGAGAACAGAGCACGGGGCCACAUCUGAAGGGAGAGAAUGGGAAGGGUGUGGCUGACCCUGCCCAGAAGGGGUGGGGCGGGACUCCAGCGAAACCCACCCUGGGCAGCGCAGGGCGCCCCGGAACCCCGUGACAAGUCACCCAGUGACAGGUCACUGACCACUGCGUUCCUACACAUAACCAGUUACCAUGGUAGCUUAAACUUCAAAAUAUUUAAAUUGAUUUUGAGAGGAAGACCACUGGGCCGUUGCAUUGAUGCUGCGCUCCGUGGGUAACCCCUGCACUCCGACUGGGAGCCGCAGCCUUGGAGUUUCAGGACGAAACUCGACCCUGGAGCCACGGGGGCAGGGCUGCAGCCCCGGCUCCCUGAAGGCCCUUUUCGGGGACCGGGAAGCACUCCACACAGGAGGAGCAUCCGGGACUUGCUCCAGACAAUCCAGUGGGCGGGGAGGGGGCUGCAGGGCACACCCCCCGCUGAGGCCGAGCUGGCUGCUUCUCAGGAGAGCCAGUGGGUUUCCGUCAGUCGUCACAGCUGUGUGACCACUGCAGCCCUCUCGACCCCUCCUUUAUAUGCUCCAGUGAGACCGGGCAGGGGUGACAGGGGUCCCAGUGCUGCAUCUGCCCUGCAGGUCUCCCAGCUGCCACAGCCUCGGGCAGGUCCCACUGUCCCGGGGCGUCAACAGGCUGCAGGGCAGCACCCUGACAAGCCCCCUGCACCUGUCUGAGGGCCUAGAGCCCAGGGCUGACUCAGGGGGCACCUCCCACCACCAGGAAAGGGGCUCCCCAGGCAGGCCCACCAGCCUGGCUAGGGGGUGCUUGCUGAGAAGGGGGACCCUGGGUGGCACACAGCGACCUGGAUCUGGGAACUCAGUGCUUACCAGACCCCUGGACUCUCACACCCGCCCACCUUGCCCUGCAGUGGUUGUGGGCUUCUGCUCCCCCCACAUGCCCAGCCCCACUGCCCACAGGCUGCCAACUGUACUAGCCCAGGGCUGCAUGUCUUCCAUUCUGG
This is an RNA transcript of Artibeus jamaicensis (Jamaican fruit-eating bat), 3826 nucleotides long. It is a transcript of the gene named translation initiation factor IF-2-like, with no coding region annotated. The transcript has 3 exons. The record is from RefSeq and is a predicted model, not a curated record. NCBI's taxonomy places the organism in Eukaryota, Metazoa, Chordata, Mammalia, Chiroptera, Phyllostomidae.